This 293-nucleotide ribosomal RNA is filed under the name uncultured bacterium. Its description in RNAcentral is "partial 16S ribosomal RNA". It matches the Rfam family "Bacterial small subunit ribosomal RNA", at positions 775 to 1067 of the family's 1533-position model. The record is from RNAcentral.
GGAUUAGAUACCCUGGUAGUCCAUGCUGUAAACGAUGUCUACUAGCUGUUGGAUUCCUAGAGGAUUUAGUGGCGCAGUUAACGCACUAAGUAGACCGCCUGGGGAGUACGGCCGCAAGGUUAAAACUCAAAUGAAUUGACGGGGGCCCGCACAAGCGGUGGAGCAUGUGGUUUAAUUCGACGCAACGCGAAGAACCUUACCAGGCCUUGACAUCCCAGGAAGAAACCAGAGAUGGUUUUGUGCCUUCGGGAACUUGGUGACAGGUGCUGCAUGGCUGUCGUCAGCUCGUGUUG